GUGGCUCAGGAAAAGAAGAGGACUCUAUUGAAGGACUCAGAUUUAAUAGUGUAGCGUUACGUAUAACAACUCGACAGGACAAUUGUGCUUGUCAGGUUUACUUACAAAACCAGACUGAUACAUAUACAGUUUAUAUGCAGAAGAAUAAUAAAUUGACAUCAGCGGCACCGAAUAGCUCUGACUGUGGGCUAGUGAUAAAUGUUAGUGUAUAUGACGGAGUUGGUACAGAUAAAAUAUUGAAAACAGUUGAAUGUGCGAAUGGAACUUUGUUUCAACCGAUUUCUCUAGAAAUAAAUGGAACGCUCAAUUUUAAAUCAACGGUAAUUGAAGGAAUUUUUACAAGAGGAUACUGCUUGCAGAUUUUCAGAAAAAAUCCUAAUACAAGUCAUCCUUCUCUACAGAUUGCCUGCACGCAAGUAACGGCUAACAAAACAAAUUAUAGUCCAGUUAUGAAAGAAGAUACUAGUUCAACACAGUAUGUUGUCAUUGGAGCUUGCGCUGGUGGAUUUGUUUUUGUAAUAUCCAUCGCAGUUGUUGUUGUAAGUUGUAUUCGG
Long non-coding RNA from Mytilus californianus (California mussel), 554 nucleotides. RefSeq lists it as uncharacterized. NCBI's taxonomy places the organism in Eukaryota, Metazoa, Mollusca, Bivalvia, Mytilida, Mytilidae. The transcript has 3 exons. The record is from RefSeq and is a predicted model, not a curated record.